GAGAGAGCUCCCUGUUUUUCCUGUGCCUGCUGGCCCUGAGGAAAUGUGCCUGUGAAACUCUCCAAGGCAAUCUCUCUCCUUGUGUCAGGAGCCAGCUCAAACCCCACACGCUGUUCAAGGGAUUUACCCAGGACAGACGUGUGGCUGUGCAUUGUUCUCAGCAGAAAGAGUGAAUACCUGAAUUCCAAUCUUCGAUUAAUGGCUAAGUGCACUUCUGGGAAGGGUAAACAGAACAGCAAAGGCCUGGAUCCCCAGGCAAGAAGCACACAGCAAUCAAAACCAGAAAGAAGAAAAGUGGCUGAGACCCUGAGCUGUGAUUGACCUCCUUGGAGUUGUUUGGGUACAGAUGAUGAAGCUGGAAUCAUGAAAUGAGCACAAACACAGGAAUGAGCUCUUGCUGCUGAAUCUGCUGCCAAAGCUGUAAUGCAGCACCAGUUUCUUCUGCAUUGUGGUCUGUGAGCAUUACCUCAUCCAGAGCAGUCUGAAAGCACACAAAGCAGGGAACAUCUCGCUGAAGGAGGUAGAAGGAAGUGUUGCAUCAGUUCUGCACAAGCAAGUCAGGGGUCUUUCCUCUCCUGCAAUAGCACACACCUGCUGGUUGCAUGUAUAGCAGCUACUACCCAUUAUCUCUUCUGUGCAAUUGCAGGUCCUCAAGGCAUUGCUAUGUGCAGUUCCAGUGACCUGAGUGGAGGAUUUGAGCUGCCUCUACCAGACCCGU
Molecule: long non-coding RNA, 718 nt
Filed under: Chloebia gouldiae (Gouldian finch)
Lineage: Eukaryota; Metazoa; Chordata; Aves; Passeriformes; Passeridae
Description: Erythrura gouldiae (Gouldian finch) lncRNA (ENSEGOG00005003686.1)
Source: RNAcentral